CAGUAGCCGCGGUAAUACGGAGGGUGCAAGCGUUAAUCGGAAUUACUGGGCGUAAAGCGCACGCAGGCGGUCUGACAAGUCAGAUGUGAAAUCCCCGGGCUUAACCUGGGAACUGCAUUUGAAACUGUCAGGCUGGAGUCUUGUAGAGGGGGGUGGAAUUCCAGGUGUAGCGGUGAAAUGCGUAGAGAUCUGGAGGAAUACCGGUGGCGAAGGCGGCCCCCUGGACAAAGACUGACGCUCAGGUGCGAAAGCGUGGGGAGCGAACAGGAUUAGAUACCCCUGUAGUCCCUGUCUCUUAUAC
Molecule: ribosomal RNA, 301 nt
Filed under: uncultured bacterium
Lineage: Bacteria
Description: partial 16S ribosomal RNA
Rfam family: Bacterial small subunit ribosomal RNA
Source: RNAcentral